RNAcentral lists this transfer RNA (73 nucleotides) under Candidatus Woesearchaeota archaeon. RNAcentral's name for it is "tRNA-Val". It matches the Rfam family "tRNA". From Rfam's summary of the family: Transfer RNA (tRNA) molecules are approximately 80 nucleotides in length. The record is from RNAcentral. Lineage: Archaea; Nanobdellati; Candidatus Woesearchaeota.
GGGCUCGUGGUCUAGCGGUUAUGAUAAUUCCUUGACGUGGAAUUGGUCCCAGGUUCAAAUCCUGGCGGGCCCA